CAGCAGCCGCGGUAAUACAGAGGGUGCAAGCGUUAAUCGGAAUUACUGGGCGUAAAGCGCGCGUAGGUGGUUUGUUAAGUUGGAUGUGAAAUCCCCGGGCUCAACCUGGGAACUGCAUCCAAAACUGGCAGGCUAGAGUAGGGCAGAGGGUGGUGGAAUUUCCUGUGUAGCGGUGAAAUGCGUAGAUAUAGGAAGGAACACCAGUGGCGAAGGCGACCACCUGGGCUCAUACUGACACUGAGGUGCGAAAGCGUGGGGAGCAAACAGGAUUAGAUACCCCUGUAGUCCCUGUCUCUUAUAC
RNAcentral lists this ribosomal RNA (301 nucleotides) under uncultured bacterium. RNAcentral's name for it is "partial 16S ribosomal RNA". It matches the Rfam family "Bacterial small subunit ribosomal RNA", at positions 509 to 807 of the family's 1533-position model. The record is from RNAcentral.